Molecule: non-coding RNA, 277 nt
Organism: Nicotiana tabacum (common tobacco)
Lineage: Eukaryota; Viridiplantae; Streptophyta; Magnoliopsida; Solanales; Solanaceae
Source: RefSeq, a predicted model, not a curated record
GCGAGAAACGUUGGAAUUCUCUGCCAGAUGCCAGGGAGUUGGCUCUCGUUAUGAUAUGUUGGUUGAACUGUCAAGAAGAGAGAAAGCAGCUAAAAUUAAGCCAGAUCCUGAUAUUGACAUCUUCAUGAAGGCAGCAGCAACAGAGGGACAAGAGGCCAAUGUUGUUACAGAUUAUGUUCUUAAGCUGUUGGGGCUGGAUAUUUGCGCAGAUACAAUGGUGGGAGAUGAAAUGAUAAGGGGUAUUUCAGGAGGACAAAAGAAGCGUGUGACAACAGGU